RNAcentral lists this ribosomal RNA (290 nucleotides) under uncultured bacterium. RNAcentral's name for it is "partial 16S ribosomal RNA". It matches the Rfam family "Bacterial small subunit ribosomal RNA", at positions 337 to 619 of the family's 1533-position model. The record is from RNAcentral.
UCCUACGGGGGGCAGCAGUAGGGAAUCUUCCACAAUGGACGAAAGUCUGAUGGAGCAACGCCGCGUGAGUGAAGAAGGGUUUCGGCUCGUAAAGCUCUGUUGGUAGUGAAGAAAGAUAGAGGUAGUAACUGGCCUUUAUUUGACGGUAAUUACUUAGAAAGUCACGGCUGACUACGUGCCAGCAGCCGCGGUAAUACGUAGGUGGCAAGCGUUGUCCGGAUUUAUUGGGCGUAAAGGGAGUGCAGGCGGCUUGGCAAGUCUGAUGUGAAAGGGUGGGGGUCAACCCCAGG